UACGGAGGGUGCAAGCGUUAUCCGGAUUUACUGGGUUUAAAGGGUGUGUAGGCGGACUAUUAAGUCAGUGGUGAAAUCCCGAGGCUCAACCUCGGAACUGCCUUUGAUACUAUUAGUCUUGAAUGUUGUUGAGGUGGGCGGAACGGGUCAUGUAGCGGUGAAAUGCAUAGAUAUGACCCGGAACACCGAUUGCGAAGGCAGCCCGCUAAGCAACUAUUGACGCUGAGGCACGAAAGCGUGGGGAUCAAACAGGAGUUA
Molecule: ribosomal RNA, 258 nt
Filed under: uncultured bacterium
Lineage: Bacteria
Description: partial 16S ribosomal RNA
Rfam family: Bacterial small subunit ribosomal RNA
Source: RNAcentral